UGAGGUGUAGCCAAUGAGUGGGAAAGCCCCAGAACCAGGUCAAAACCCCUCUCCAGCCACUCCCCAUAAUGAGGUCCCAUUUCAGCGAGUAGCUGUGUAU
Non-coding RNA from Chelonoidis abingdonii (Abingdon island giant tortoise), 100 nucleotides. NCBI's taxonomy places the organism in Eukaryota, Metazoa, Chordata, Testudines, Testudinidae. The record is from RefSeq and is a predicted model, not a curated record.